This 76-nucleotide transfer RNA is filed under the name Halobacillus halophilus. Its description in RNAcentral is "tRNA-Thr". It matches the Rfam family "tRNA". Rfam says of the family: Transfer RNA (tRNA) molecules are approximately 80 nucleotides in length. Their secondary structure includes four short double-helical elements and three loops (D, anti-codon, and T loops). Further hydrogen bonds mediate the characteristic L-shaped molecular structure. tRNAs have two regions of fundamental functional importance: the anti-codon, which is responsible for specific mRNA codon recognition, and the 3' end, to which the tRNAs corresponding amino acid is attached (by aminoacyl-tRNA synthetases). tRNAs cope with the degeneracy of the genetic code in two manners: having more than one tRNA (with a specific anti-codon) for a particular amino acid; and 'wobble' base-pairing, i.e. permitting non-standard base-pairing at the 3rd anti-codon position. The record is from RNAcentral. RNAcentral also lists the same sequence under 32 other names. Lineage: Bacteria; Bacillati; Bacillota; Bacilli; Caryophanales; Bacillaceae.
GCCGGCCUAGCUCAACUGGCAGAGCAACUGAUUUGUAAUCAGUAGGUUGGGGGUUCAAGUCCUCUGGCCGGCACCA